CGGACGGGUGAGUAAUGUAUGGGGAUCUGCCCGAUGGAGGGGGAUAACUACUGGAAACGGUAGCUAAUACCGCAUAACGUCGCAAGACCAAAGAGGGGGACCUUCGGGCCUCUUGCCAUCGGAUGUGCCCAGAUGGGAUUAGCUAGUAGGUGGGGUAAUGGCUCACCUAGGCGACGAUCCCUAGCUGGUCUGAGAGGAUGACCAGCCACACUGGAACUGAGACACGGUCCAG
Molecule: ribosomal RNA, 232 nt
Filed under: uncultured bacterium
Lineage: Bacteria
Description: partial 16S ribosomal RNA
Rfam family: Bacterial small subunit ribosomal RNA
Source: RNAcentral